UACAGAGGUCUCAAGCGUUGUUCGGAUUCAUUGGGCGUAAAGGGCGCGUAGGCGGCCUGGUAAGUACGGGGUGAAAUCUCACGGCUCAACCGUGAGGCUGCCUCGUAGACUGCCGGGCUUGAGCAGAGCAGAGGCUAGCGGAAUUCCCGGUGUAGCGGUGGAAUGCGUAGAGAUCGGGAAGAACAUCGGUGGCGAAGGCGGCUAGCUGGGCUCUUGCUGACGCUGAUGCGCGACAGCGUGGGGAGCAAAUAGG
This 253-nucleotide ribosomal RNA is filed under the name uncultured bacterium. RNAcentral describes it as "partial 16S ribosomal RNA". It matches the Rfam family "Bacterial small subunit ribosomal RNA", at positions 524 to 776 of the family's 1533-position model. The record is from RNAcentral.